GACGUAGGGCGCGAGCGUUGUCCGGAUUUAUUGGGCGUAAAGAGCUCGUAGGCGGCUUGUCGCGUCGUCCGUGAAAACUCACAGCUCAACUGUGAGCUUGCGGUCGAUACGGGCAGGCUGGAGUUCGGUAGGGGAGACUGGAAUUCCUGGUGUAGCGGUGAAAUGCGCAGAUAUCAGGAGGAACACCGGUGGCGAAGGCGGAUCUCUGGGCCUGUCCUGACGCUGAGGCGCGAAAGCUAGGGGAGCGAACAGG
Molecule: ribosomal RNA, 253 nt
Filed under: uncultured bacterium
Lineage: Bacteria
Description: partial 16S ribosomal RNA
Rfam family: Bacterial small subunit ribosomal RNA
Source: RNAcentral